RNAcentral lists this transfer RNA (73 nucleotides) under Chrysochromulina parva. Its description in RNAcentral is "tRNA-Ala". It matches the Rfam family "tRNA". Rfam says of the family: Transfer RNA (tRNA) molecules are approximately 80 nucleotides in length. Their secondary structure includes four short double-helical elements and three loops (D, anti-codon, and T loops). The record is from RNAcentral. RNAcentral also lists the same sequence under 1 other name. Lineage: Eukaryota; Haptophyta; Prymnesiales; Chrysochromulinaceae.
GGGAAUAUGACUCAAUUGGUAGAGUGUUUGCUUUGCACGUAAAAAGUUGUUGGUUCAAAUCCAACUAUUUCCA